Molecule: ribosomal RNA, 245 nt
Filed under: uncultured Sediminibacterium sp.
Lineage: Bacteria; Pseudomonadati; Bacteroidota; Chitinophagia; Chitinophagales; Chitinophagaceae
Description: partial 16S ribosomal RNA
Rfam family: Bacterial small subunit ribosomal RNA
Source: RNAcentral
UACGGAGGGUGCAAGCGUUAUCCGGAUUCACUGGGUUUAAAGGGUGCGUAGGAGGGCAGGUAAGUCAGUCGUGAAAUCCCCGAGCUUAACUUGGGAACUGCCGUUGAUACUAUCUGUCUUGAAUAUUGUGGAGGUAAGCGGAAUAUGUCAUGUAGCGGUGAAAUGCUUAGAUAUGACAUAGAACACCAAUUGCGAAGGCAGCUUGCUACACAAUCAUUGACUCUGAUGCACGAAAGCGUGGGGAU